GCAGGGGAUGACCGACCGCCCGGCGCAAUUUGUCGCCGGGAGGAAAGUCCGGACUCCAUAGGGCUGGAUGCCCCGUGGUUAACGCGGGGAAGGUGUUGCCAUACCGACACCGAUGGAUAGUGCCACAGAAACAAACCGCCACAUGGCUCAGCCGUGCGGUAAGGGUGAAAAGGUGGUGUAAGAGACCACCGGGAGGUUGCGUGAGCGCCUCUGCCAGGUAAACCCCAUCCGGAGCAAGGCCAAAUAGGGAGUGAAGGUGCGGCCCGUACCGCCCGGCAUACGCCGGAUAACUCCGGGUUGGCUGCUUAGACGAAUGGUCGGACAGUGCCGUCUGGCACCGACAGAAUCCGGCUUAUGACUCCCCUGCAAGG
RNAcentral lists this RNase P RNA (371 nucleotides) under Lentisphaerota bacterium. Its description in RNAcentral is "Lentisphaerae bacterium (anaerobic digester metagenome) RNase P RNA component class A". It matches the Rfam family "Bacterial RNase P class A". Rfam says of the family: Ribonuclease P (RNase P) is a ubiquitous endoribonuclease, found in archaea, bacteria and eukarya as well as chloroplasts and mitochondria. Its best characterised activity is the generation of mature 5'-ends of tRNAs by cleaving the 5'-leader elements of precursor-tRNAs. The record is from RNAcentral. Lineage: Bacteria; Pseudomonadati; Lentisphaerota.